UACGGGGGGGGUAAGCGUUGUCCGGAUUUAUUGGGCGUAAAGAGCGUGUAGGCGGCCAAGCAGGUCCGCUGUGAAAACUCGAGGCUCAACCUCGAGACGUCGGUGGAAACCGUUUGGCUAGAGUCCGGAAGAGGAGAGUGGAAUUCCCGGUGUAGCGGUGAAAUGCGCAGAUAUCGGGAGGAACACCCGUGGCGAAAGCGGCUCUCUGGGACGGUACUGACGCUGAGACGCGAAAGCGUGGGGAGCGAACAGG
RNAcentral lists this ribosomal RNA (253 nucleotides) under uncultured bacterium. RNAcentral's name for it is "partial 16S ribosomal RNA". It matches the Rfam family "Bacterial small subunit ribosomal RNA", at positions 524 to 776 of the family's 1533-position model. The record is from RNAcentral.